RNAcentral lists this ribosomal RNA (450 nucleotides) under uncultured bacterium. Its description in RNAcentral is "bacterial SSU rRNA". It matches the Rfam family "Bacterial small subunit ribosomal RNA", at positions 354 to 796 of the family's 1533-position model. The record is from RNAcentral.
GUAGGGAAUCUUCCGCAAUGGACGAAAGUCUGACGGAGCAACGCCGCGUGAGUGAAGAAGGUUUUCGGAUCGUAAAACUCUGUUGUUAGAGAAGAACAUGUCUGAGAGUAACUGUUCAGGCAAUGACGGUAUCUAACCAGAAAGCCACGGCUAACUACGUGCCAGCAGCCGCGGUAAUACGUAGGUGGCAAGCGUUGUCCGGAUUUAUUGGGCGUAAAGCGAGCGCAGGCGGUUUCUUAAGUCUGAUGUGAAAGCCCACGGCUUAACCGUGGAGGGUCAUUGGAAACUGGGAAACUUGAGUGCAGAAGAGGAGAGUGGAAUUCCAUGUGUAGCGGUGAAAUGCGUAGAUAUAUGGAGGAACACCAGUGGCGAAGGCGACUCUCUGGUCUGUAACUGACGCUGAGGCUCGAAAGCGUGGGUAGCAAACAGGAUUAGAAACCCUUGUAGUCC